UUAAUUGAAGAGUUUGAUCAUGGCUCAGAUUGAACGCUGGCGGCAGGCUUAACACAUGCAAGUCGAGCGGUAGCACAGGGGAGCUUGCUCCCUGGGUGACGAGCGGCGGACGGGUGAGUAAUGUCUGGGAAACUGCCUGAUGGAGGGGGAUAACUACUGGAAACGGUAGCUAAUACCGCAUAACGUCGCAAGACCAAAGAGGGGGACCUUCGGGCCUC
This 218-nucleotide ribosomal RNA is filed under the name Escherichia coli. Its description in RNAcentral is "partial 16S ribosomal RNA". It matches the Rfam family "Bacterial small subunit ribosomal RNA", at positions 1 to 216 of the family's 1533-position model. The record is from RNAcentral. RNAcentral also lists the same sequence under 2 other names. Lineage: Bacteria; Pseudomonadati; Pseudomonadota; Gammaproteobacteria; Enterobacterales; Enterobacteriaceae.